RNAcentral lists this ribosomal RNA (391 nucleotides) under uncultured bacterium. RNAcentral's name for it is "bacterial SSU rRNA". It matches the Rfam family "Bacterial small subunit ribosomal RNA", at positions 505 to 898 of the family's 1533-position model. The record is from RNAcentral.
GUGCCAGCCGCCGCGGUAAUACGGAGGAUCCGAGCGUUAUCCGGAAUCAUUGGGUUUAAAGGGUCCGUAGGUGGACGAUUAAGUCGGAGGUGAAAUCCUGCAGCUCAACUGUAGAAUUGCCUUUGAUACUGGUUGUCUUGAAUCAUUGUGAAGUGGUUAGAAUAUGUGGUGUAGCGGUGAAAUGCAUAGAUAUCACAUAGAAUACCGAUUGCGAAGGCAGAUCACUAACAAUAUAUUGACACUGAUGGACGAAAGCGUGGGGAGCGAACAGGAUUAGAUACCCUGGUAAUCCACACCAUAAACAAUAAAUACUAACUGUCCGGGCUUCGGCCUGGGUGGCUAAGCGAAAGUGAUAAGUAUCCCACCUGGGGAGUACGUUCGCAAGAAUGAA